Long non-coding RNA from Trichomycterus rosablanca, 210 nucleotides. RefSeq lists it as uncharacterized. The transcript has 4 exons. The record is from RefSeq and is a predicted model, not a curated record. NCBI's taxonomy places the organism in Eukaryota, Metazoa, Chordata, Actinopteri, Siluriformes, Trichomycteridae.
UAAACCCUGAAGUUCGAUGGAAAAUGGCCACAUGUCAAGGAAGGCUGCUGAGUUUGAGAGAGUCUUAGUGUCCAACAGAGAAGACCCGGGACUAUGCUGUAAAGGAGAAAAUUACAAGGAGGCCUGGAUCUGGGAAACUUAAAUCUACUAGUGAAUCAGAUGGGCCAUGCCGAUCCAUCUUAAGGCAGUCAGAGCUGCUAAAAUAAUGAA